This 253-nucleotide ribosomal RNA is filed under the name uncultured bacterium. Its description in RNAcentral is "partial 16S ribosomal RNA". It matches the Rfam family "Bacterial small subunit ribosomal RNA", at positions 524 to 776 of the family's 1533-position model. The record is from RNAcentral.
UACGCAGGGACCAAGCGUUGUUCGGAUUUACUGGGCGUAAAGGGCGCGUAGGCGGCGCGGUAAGUCACUUGUGAAAUCUCUGAGCUUAACUCAGAACGGCCAAGUGAUACUGCAGUGCUAGAGUGUGGAAGGGGCAAUCGGAAUUCUUGGUGUAGCGGUGAAAUUCGUAGAUAUCGGGAGGAACACCGGUGGCGAAGGCGGCGACCUGGGUAGAUACUGACGCUGAGGUGCGAAAGCGUGGGGAGCAAACAGG